AACGUAGGAGACAAACGUUAUCCGGAGUUACUGGGCGUAAAGGGCGUGUAGGCGGUUGACUAAGUCUGGCGUAAAAGCUCGCGGCUAAACCGCGAGAGGUCGUUGGAUACUGGUUGACUAGAGGACGGUAGAGGCGUGUGGAAUUCCGGGUGUAGUGGUGAAAUGCGUAGAGAUCCGGAGGAACACCAGUGGCGAAGGCGACACGCUGGGCCGUACCUGACGCUAAAACGCGACAGCAUGGGGAGCGAACGGG
Molecule: ribosomal RNA, 253 nt
Filed under: uncultured bacterium
Lineage: Bacteria
Description: partial 16S ribosomal RNA
Rfam family: Bacterial small subunit ribosomal RNA
Source: RNAcentral